Molecule: long non-coding RNA, 493 nt
Organism: Alosa alosa (allis shad)
Lineage: Eukaryota; Metazoa; Chordata; Actinopteri; Clupeiformes; Clupeidae
Exons: 2
Source: RefSeq, a predicted model, not a curated record
CACUGAUAAAAAAAAUCACAAUCUGGCGAAAAAAUGACCUCACACAAGAGUGGAAAUCUUUGUUUAUGCCGUGAUACAUAAGCAAAAAUAAGUAAACACAAACAACAACAACAACAGAAAACAAACAGAAGCUAGGAUCAAAGAGCCUCCGGCUCGCAGGCAAGUAAAAUGUGAAAUGGAUUAUUAUUAUUAUUACUAUUCAUUUAUUUUUUAAAGCAAAUCACCACCACUGCUUUGGUGCUUGAUGAGUGAGGAAUGAGCUUAUUGUGUUGCUUUUUCUUUCCCUUGCUCUCUCUCUCUCUCUUUCUCUCUCUCUGUCUGUAAUCCAUUGGUCAGAGCGCCACCGUCUUUCUCGCCACCAGACAGGAUGGUACAAAGCAAGCGGAUCCAGAGCCACUCAGGCGGCCAGCACAUGGGACGUGGGCGAUCGAGGCCUGCUUCAAUAUUAAAGAGGCCAAAUGCAAACCUACGUUUGUGGAGCCUCUCUUUCUGU